RNAcentral lists this ribosomal RNA (444 nucleotides) under uncultured bacterium. RNAcentral describes it as "bacterial SSU rRNA". It matches the Rfam family "Bacterial small subunit ribosomal RNA", at positions 336 to 796 of the family's 1533-position model. The record is from RNAcentral.
UUCCUACGGGUGGCAGCAGUAGGGAAUAUUGCACAAUGAGCGAAAGCUUGAUGCAGCAACGCCGCGUGCGCGAUGACGGCCUUCGGGUUGUAAAGCGCUUUUCGGGGAGAUGAGGAAGGACAGUAUCCCCGGAAUAAGUCUCGGCUAACUACGUGCCAGCAGCCGCGGUAACACGUAGGAGGCAAGCGUUAUCCGAAUUUACUGGGCGUAAAGCGCGUGCAGGCGGUUCGGUAAGUUGGAUGUGAAAUCUCCCGGCUCAACUGGGAGAGGACGUUCAAUACUGUCGGACUUGAGGACGAUAGAGGGAGGUGGAAUUCCCGGUGUAGUGGUGAAAUGCGUAGAUAUCGGGAGGAACACCAGUGGCGAAAGCGGCCUCCUGGAUCGUUCCUGACGCUCAGACGCGAAAGCUAGGGGAGCGAACGGGAUUAGAUACCCCGGUAGUCA